ACUACGACUCUCGACAAUGGAUAUCUCGGCUCUCGCUUCGAUGAAGAACGUAGCGAAAUGCGAUACCUUGUGUGAAUUGCAGAAUCCCGUGAAUCAUCGAAUCUUUGAACGCAAGUUGCGCCCGAGGCCUAGGCUGAGGGCACGUCUGCCUGGGUGUCGUGAAA
This 164-nucleotide ribosomal RNA is filed under the name Gnetum nodiflorum. RNAcentral's name for it is "5.8S ribosomal RNA". It matches the Rfam family "5.8S ribosomal RNA". Rfam says of the family: 5.8S ribosomal RNA (5.8S rRNA) is a component of the large subunit of the eukaryotic ribosome. It is transcribed by RNA polymerase I as part of the 45S precursor that also contains 18S and 28S rRNA. RNAcentral also lists the same sequence under 2 other names. The record is from RNAcentral. Lineage: Eukaryota; Viridiplantae; Streptophyta; Gnetopsida; Gnetales; Gnetaceae.